Eptesicus fuscus (big brown bat) is the source of this 1229-nucleotide long non-coding RNA. RefSeq lists it as uncharacterized. The record is from RefSeq and is a predicted model, not a curated record. Lineage: Eukaryota; Metazoa; Chordata; Mammalia; Chiroptera; Vespertilionidae. The transcript has 2 exons.
AAUAGAAUGCUUUCUGAAUAUUGUACAGUAAGAAAUGAAAAUUAAGUGCUGAGUUUGUUGGAUUACUGAUAGCCUGUUACCGAGUUGGAUUUUAAAAACAUUCUGCUCAGACUAAAGCACCUGGAACCAUAAUCUACAGUCAGAUUGCUGAUCGUUCACAUAAUGCCUUUGCAUUUCGUGGGGCUGCAGGGAAGGCCUAUGCAUCUCAGGAGAUGUAUCAUCACCAAGCAUAGCAGUUCCUGGGCUAAGUUUGCAGGCUAAGACCUGAAUUUCCUAAGUAUGAGGUAGCUCUUCUUCUCCCCUUUGCCUUAGUUUUUAGUGUUUUUAUUGGAAUUAACUCUCUUUUUAAAGAGCUUCCCCUCAGCCCCAUUUGUAUUUUUUAAAGUAAUGUAUAUAAUUUUGCUGUUUUUUGCAUUCUUGUAUUGUGUGCUUCAUUCUCUGUAUUGGCAAGUAAGUACCAAAUGAAAAGUGGAGGUCCAAAAGUAUGAUAAAUCUCCUCUUCUCCCUUUCCCUUAUUGCCGGCAUGGGCAAUCGCUAGUAGAGUAGUGUUGGCUGAUUUAUUUUAGUGGCUUUUGGGGGGUAUAUACUUUAAAUAUGUACAUAUGUGGUUUUGAUGUGUUUUUAUAUACUUUUAUUUUGUAUAUUUUGUUCUGAUGAAAAAUGAAAUAUUGUCCAUGAAAAUCUCCUCUGCCUUCCCAUAUUGUCUGUGUGGGCAACAGCUCUGGAGUGGAUUUUUAUUUCCUUUUUUGGAAGGAGGUGGUGAUAUUGAGAGUCCCUUGAAGAGCUCUGAAUAUGCCUAACAAAAAUAAAGUUCCACCAAGUCCCUGCCUCUGACUUGAAGGCAUUGCAUUGUGGUGAUGUCACUAAUGGCAAUGGGCAUAUAGCCAAUAAGAUGGGAGAAGACACUUGGACAUGGCUAAGCUGUGAAAGCUAAUCAGACUCCGCUUUUCCUACUUUCAUUCAAACUGAAUGAAAUGGUGGGAAGGGACUUGUACAUUGGAAAUCCCAGAAAGGCAAAAGGACAGUACUAAGUAAAAGUCUGUUUAACGUUUAUUGCUGGUUAAUCUUUCAGUGACUGGUAAGCCAAUAGAAGUGCCUUGAUAGUAGCUUCUUUUAAGACUGGAAUCCUAUUCAUCCACAGAAGUCUGUUGCAGUUCCAUCAGUAGCAUAUUCUUGUGUACCCAGUAAAAAUUAUUUUGGUUUUUGGAAUAAAACUUUUUUUGACUUAU